GGCGAACGCUGGCGGCGUGCUUAACACAUGCAAGUCGAACGAAGAGCGAUGGAAGCUUGCUUCUAUCAAUCUUAGUGGCGAACGGGUGAGUAACGCGUAAUCAACCUGCCCUUCAGAGGGGGACAACAGUUGGAAACGAUUGCUAAUACCGCAUACGAUCUAAUCGCGGAAUCGAGGAUAGAUGAAAGGUGGCCUCUACAGGUAAGCUAUCACUGAAGGAGGGGAGUGAGUCGGAUUAGCAAGUUGGAGGGGUAACGGCCCACAAAGGGAAGGAUCGGUAGCGGGCUGGGAGGAUGGACGGCCAACUUGGGAAUGGAACAAGGCCCCAACUCCUACGGGAAGCAGCAGGGGGGAAUCUUCCGCAAAGGACGAAAAGCUGGCGGCACAAAGCCGCGUGAGCGAUGACGGCCUUCGGGUUGUAAAGCUCUGUUAGUCGGGACGAAAGGCCUUCUUGCGAAUAGUGAGAAGGAUUGACGGUACCGGAAUAGAAAGCCACGGCUAACUACGUG
RNAcentral lists this ribosomal RNA (509 nucleotides) under uncultured bacterium. Its description in RNAcentral is "partial 16S ribosomal RNA". It matches the Rfam family "Bacterial small subunit ribosomal RNA", at positions 28 to 507 of the family's 1533-position model. The record is from RNAcentral.